Molecule: long non-coding RNA, 878 nt
Organism: Macadamia integrifolia
Lineage: Eukaryota; Viridiplantae; Streptophyta; Magnoliopsida; Proteales; Proteaceae
Exons: 2
Source: RefSeq, a predicted model, not a curated record
AAUAACUAAAAUCGCACCAUCUGACACCCCUACUUGCGAGGAGCUGAUGGGUGGUUUUUUUUAGAAUCAACCACAGCCCUUGGAUGGGUGUAGGACAGAUGUCGAUCGCCCAAGUGGCUAUGAGCAAGACUUGGGCGAUCAGGUAUAAGGAGAGGAGCCAGUUCCCACUGUAAACCCUUUCCCUUCCUCUUAUAGUCCCUGCUGUAAACCCUUGCGCCAUCUCCCUCCAGAGCCCCGGAUCGCCGCUCGUGCUCGCCUUUACCUUCUUGCUGCCUGCCGCGCUUCACGGCCUUCGCCGAAACCCUUGCAGUCUCGCUCAGUCAGUUGUCAUGAUGUCUAGGUGACACAAGCAUUGGAGGCGGUCCAAAUACAUGGCGGCACCAACAAGAUGACCAAGGUGCCCACCUUGGUGACCAAAUUGUCCAAGGAGACGUAGGGGCCUGGAUGCCUAGGUGACGCCUUGGCAACUCUGGAAUGGAGUAUUGUGGCUUGUACGACAAUGAAAGAAAGUUAUGACAUGAACAAUCACACUAAGGAUGCAAUGGUCCUUACUUGGAGUAUCUUGCUUUCAGGCCUAGAUUUGUGGGUUGCCCAACAGUUGGGUUUGACUAGCAUCAUCCACUUGUGUAUUGGAAAUGAAUGGUGGCAAGACAAGGGCAGGAAAUCCAUGACCGUAUGAUAUUGUAAUUAAAUUUGGGCACAAAGUGAGUAACUGCACGAUAAGGGGUCUUGUCCCAUUGUAUGAAAAAUGUGAUCAGAUGGUGUUUGUUCUUCACCUCUUUGAUAUAGCCGGUGAAGAGUGUGUAAUUGUGGGGGAGAAUGAUUUCAUGGUACAUUUAUAGCAGUUUGAAUCAGAAAGCCUUGGAGCUCAACGUUGA